UGCCAGGCCGGGGCCGGCGGCGGAACAGCUUGGGACCCGAAACGCCUCGGCUUUUCUGCGGACCCGCGCCCGGCCGCUGCCGCCGGACGCUUGAAAAGAGGCAGAGUCUUGCUUUGUUGUCCAGGCUGGUCUUGAACUUCUGAGCUCAAGUGAUCCUCCCGCCUUGGCCUCCCAAAGUGCUGAGACUACAGAGAGAGAAUGCUAACGAGCUGUGAAAUGACCAAAGAUCUGGCAGCAGAAGGGAAAAGAAAAAAUAAUGGGAAGAAGAGGAUUUAUCUGACUCAACUGGAGAUGGCUCCCUUCCCUUAUUUAUUGUUGCAUCCUGAAGCUUCCCCCAUGCUGGGCUCAGUGUGAACAAACAGCGCGGGAGAAUGCAACCACUGCAGAGGCAUAUGUUUGAGAUACCUGGCCACUGGAGGUCAUCUCGUCUACUAUAUUCACCGCAGAUAAAGAAUGAAAAGAGAAUACACAACCUUGUGAUUGCUAGCAGUGAAAGCUCAGAGUUAUGACAUAACAGAAUUGGCUCAUGUGACUAUGGAGGCUGAGAUGUCCCAAGAGCUGGAUACCCAGGAGAAGCAAAGAGUGGUUGAUCAUACUGUAAAACUCAAAUGUGAAGGGAAGGCUGGAACCUACUGGAAACUGAAGAUCUAACGAAAAGAAGGAACUUUUAGGAACUAGCAGAGACUUCAAAAUGUUGAGAACUCUCUUUUUUCAUAAGAGAAGAUAAAAACUCUGAUGGUCACACUCAUAAAGACAAAAAACAAAUAAAAAACAAACAAAAACUCAGAAUCACAAGAGCAAAGAAAAUGUAGGUAAAACAAUAACAGAAGAGGUAAAGAAAUUUAUGUGAAUUGGGACACUCUGGGGCACAGAACAGAAGAGGAGAAGAAACAUGAAAGUAAUGCUCUGCACAAGGAUGUCUGACUGUCCUUGAUUCCAAGGGCAUUUAAAAUUAGCCACUGGAUGAGAACCAUGAAAUGCCAUGACUCUUACAGCUCCCAUGAAAGACAUUGGAUGGAACUUAUCCUAACUGGACCAAAUUCUAAAAAAUUUUACAUGAUAUUAUAAUGAGUUGAAAGUUGAAAAAAAAAAGCUCUUCUAGAUUACCAAGAAUAAAACACAAAUUUCUAGCUGACUGAAUUAAUUCUCAUCUCUCUAUAGAAAGAUCAUAGAAAUUUUUUUUAUCAUGCAAAGAAAUAGCUAAAAAUUUACAAAAAUAUAGACGUGCAUUAGGCAGCUCAUGAAUAAAUGCGUUUUUUCCUUUUUUCCUCCAGAAUUUUGUGAUGUUUAUGGUACUUUUCGGCUUUUAAAAUUUUGUAUUUAAUCAGGAUUUAUUACUUCAUUGUAAGUAAAUAUUAAAUUUGUACUCCAUCUUUGUUUGUAAUUUUGUAUAUUUUUCAGUAAAAAGGACUCCCCAGAUUAUGUAAGCUUUAGGCCCCACAAAAUCUAGGCCUGUUGCUGUAUCCUUUCUAGAGCAGUGUUUCUCAAACUUCAAUGUGCAUUUGAAUCUCCUGGGGCUCCUGUUAAAAUAUAGCUUCUGAGAUGAUGCAUUUCUAACAGACUCCCAGGGCUGACACUGCCCAUCUGGGGACCACACUUUGAGAAUCAAAUAUCUAGAACAAUGGUUCUUACCUGGCUGUGCAUUGGGAUCAUUUAUAGUGCUUUUGGAAAAUACAUUGUGUCCAGGUCCCACCCAGUUCUCAGUAGGCUUGGAAUGGGGUCCUACACUUUUUUUUUUUAACUCCACAGUUUGGGAAAGAAGCCUUUUCAUAUAUUGUUGGUGGGAAUACAAAUUGAUACAGCCAUUUUUGAGCUUGAUUUGGCAAUAUCUUCCUUGGAGAAAUCAAAAGCCAGUUGGCAAGCCAGUCUGGAAAAGGCAGUUUACUGAUUCCCACCCGAGGGUCACAAAGCAGGUAUAGAAGGAUGGGCUUUGGCUGAAAUAUAUGAUGGGUACAGGUAUAUUCUCUAUAAUCCAGUAUUUCCACUGCUGAAAACGUAUCCUAGUAACAUUAUACAUAUCAAGCCUACAUAUAAAGUUGGUCAAUUCCAUAUUAUUUGUAGUAGGGGAAAACUGAAAGCAGUCUACAUGCCCAUCAAUAGAUUAUUCAAAUUAUGGAACAGUUUUCCAAUGACAAAACAAUAGCUAAUCUUAGUUAAGCAAUUAUUAUGUUAUGUAAGGUAGACAUUGUUCUACCUUAUUUAUAAGUAUUAAGUUAGUUUUUAUAACUAUCAUAUUUCCAUUUUACAAAUGACAUAAUUUAUAUUAUUGACAUGGGAAGAUGUCCAAGGAUAUAAUAAGCAAAAAGCAAGUAGCAAAACAUUAUGUAUAUUAUGCAUUACCAUUAUAAUAUACUAAAAAGUAAUGCACUUGAUUCUGAUGCACACUCCCCAGUAGGUAACAACUUAUCUAGUGUAAAAAUGAAAGAACAUUCUGGGCCGGGCACGGUGGCUCAUGCCUGUAAUCCCAGCACUUUGGGAGGCCCAGGUGGGCGGAUCACAAGGUCAGGAGAUCGAGACCAUCCUGGCUAACAUGGUGAAACCCCGUCUCUACUAAAAAUA
Molecule: long non-coding RNA, 2559 nt
Filed under: Homo sapiens (human)
Lineage: Eukaryota; Metazoa; Chordata; Mammalia; Primates; Hominidae
Description: HSALNT0301883
Source: RNAcentral